CGCUGUUGCCUUUGCAGUUGCU
This 22-nucleotide microRNA is filed under the name Drosophila melanogaster (fruit fly). Its description in RNAcentral is "dme-miR-2491-5p". Lineage: Eukaryota; Metazoa; Arthropoda; Insecta; Diptera; Drosophilidae. The record is from miRBase by way of RNAcentral.